GACGGAGGAGGCUAGCGUUGUUCGGAAUUACUGGGCGUAAAGCGUGCGCAGGUUGUAAGUUCAGUCUGAUGUGAAAGCCCGGGGCUCAACCUCGGAUGUGCAUUAGAUACUGGCUUGCUGGAGGUUGGAAGAGGAGAGUGGAAUUCCCAGUGUAGAGGUGAAAUUCGUAGAUAUUGGGAAGAACACCAGUGGCGAAGGCGGCUCUCUGGUCCACACCUGACACUCAUGCACGAAAGCGUGGGGAGCAAACAGG
RNAcentral lists this ribosomal RNA (253 nucleotides) under uncultured bacterium. Its description in RNAcentral is "partial 16S ribosomal RNA". It matches the Rfam family "Bacterial small subunit ribosomal RNA", at positions 524 to 776 of the family's 1533-position model. The record is from RNAcentral.